RNAcentral lists this unclassified non-coding RNA (308 nucleotides) under plant metagenome. Its description in RNAcentral is "partial contains 5.8S ribosomal RNA, internal transcribed spacer 2, and large subunit ribosomal RNA". The stretch from base 1 to 105 matches the Rfam family "5.8S ribosomal RNA", at positions 50 to 154 of the family's 154-position model. The record is from RNAcentral.
GAAAUGCGAUAAGUAGUGUGAAUUGCAGAAUUCAGUGAAUCAUCGAAUCUUUGAACGCACAUUGCGCCCUUUCGUAUUCCAAAGGGCAUGCCUGUUCGAGCGUCAUUUGUACCCUCAAGCUUUGCUUGGUGUUGGGCGUCUUGUCUCUAGCUUUGCUGGAGACUCGCCUUAAAGUAAUUGGCAGCCGGCCUACUGGUUUCGGAGCGCAGCACAAGUCGCACUCUCUAUCAGCAAAGGUCUAGCAUCCAUUAAGCCUUUUUUUCAACUUUUGACCUCGGAUCAGGUAGGGAUACCCGCUGAACUUAAGC